AUCAGUGUGGCAUAAUGGUUUGAGCAUUGGACUACAACUCUGGAGACCAGGGUUUGAUUCCCAGCUUGGCCA
RNAcentral lists this transfer RNA (72 nucleotides) under Phrynosoma platyrhinos (Desert horned lizard). Its description in RNAcentral is "tRNA-OTHER". The record is from RNAcentral. Lineage: Eukaryota; Metazoa; Chordata; Lepidosauria; Squamata; Phrynosomatidae.